UGGGGAAUAUUGCACAAUGGGCGAAAGCCUGAUGCAGCGACGCCGCGUGAGGGAUGACGGCCUUCGGGUUGNAAACCUCUUUCAGCAGGGAAGAAGCGAAAGUGACGGUACCUGCAGAAGAAGCGCCGGCUAACUACGUGCCAGCAGCCGCGGUAAUACGUAGGGCGCAAGCGUUGUCCGGAAUUAUUGGGCGUAAAGAGCUCGUAGGCGGUUAGUCGCGUCUGCUGUGAAAACUCGAGGGCUCAACCUCGGGCUUGCAGUGGGUACGGGCUGACUAGAGUGCGUAGGGGUGACUGGAAUUCCUGGUGUAGCGGUGGAAUGCGCAGAUAUCAGGAGGAACACCGAUGGCGAAGGCAGGUCACUGGGCCGCAACUGACGCUGAGGAGCGAAAGCAUGGGGNGCGAACAGGAUUAGAUACCCUGGUAGUCCAUGCCGUAAACGUUGGGCACUAGGUGUGGGGU
Molecule: ribosomal RNA, 461 nt
Filed under: uncultured bacterium
Lineage: Bacteria
Description: partial 16S ribosomal RNA
Rfam family: Bacterial small subunit ribosomal RNA
Source: RNAcentral